GUUUCAACGGGUAACGGGGAAUUAGGGUUCGAUUCCGGAGAGGGAGCCUGAGAAACGGCUACCACAUCCAAGGAAGGCAGCAGGCGCGCAAAUUACCCAAUCCCGACACGGGGAGGUAGUGACAAUAAAUACUGAUACAGGGCUCUUUUGGGUCUUGUAAUCGGAAUGAGUACAAUUUAAACCUCUUAACGAGGAACAAUUGGAGGGCAAGUCUGGUGCCAGCAGCCGCGGUAAUUCCAGCUCCAAUAGCGUAUAUUAAAGUUGUUGCAGUUAAAAAGCUCGUAGUUGAAUCUUGGGCCUGGCUGGCCGGUCCGCCUCACCGCGUGUACUGGUCUGGCCGGGCCUUUCCUUCUGGAGAACCUCAUGCCCUUCAGUGGGUGUGUUGGGGAACCAGGACUUUUACUUUGAAAAAAUUAGAGUGUUCAAAGCAGGCCUUUGCUCGAAUACGUUAGCAUGGAAUAAUAGAAUAGGACGUGCGGUCCUAUUUUGUUGGUUUCUAGGACCGCCGUAAUGAUUAAUAGGGAUAGUCGGGGGCAUCAGUAUUCAAUUGUCAGAGGUGAAAUUCUUGGAUUUAUUGAAGACUAACUACUGCGAAAGCAUUUGCCAAGGAUGUUUUCAUUAAUCAGUGAACGAAAGUUAGGGGAUCGAAGACGAUCAGAUACCGUCGUAGUCUUAACCGUAAACUAUGCCGACUAGGGAUCGGGCGAUGUUUCUAUCUUGACUCGCUCGGCACCUUACGAGAAAUCAAA
This 749-nucleotide ribosomal RNA is filed under the name Lophiostoma ravennicum. Its description in RNAcentral is "SSU rRNA". It matches the Rfam family "Eukaryotic small subunit ribosomal RNA", at positions 349 to 1102 of the family's 1831-position model. The record is from RNAcentral. Lineage: Eukaryota; Fungi; Ascomycota; Dothideomycetes; Pleosporales; Lophiostomataceae.